Long non-coding RNA from Heterocephalus glaber (naked mole-rat), 638 nucleotides. Lineage: Eukaryota; Metazoa; Chordata; Mammalia; Rodentia; Bathyergidae. The record is from Ensembl.
CAGCACUGAUCAGACCCAAAGCUCAGUUUCUUCUCAGUCUCAUUUUUCUACCUUUCCUGUAAUUCGCCGUGUGCUGCCGUGGCUCGCAGGAGACCAGGACUCACUGCAGAGGUUCUGGUGGGAUCAUAAAUCCAGUCCCUAUUACUCCAUGCUCUAAGCAGCAGCAGCAGCAGCAGCAGGAGAAGAAAAAGAAGAGGAAGCAGCAGCAGCAGCAGCUCUAUUUUGGUCCUGGACUUAGGAGAGAGAAUGUCAAAAGAUGCAGAAGUUCCAGAUAUGGAUGGGCAACUGCACAGUCUUCUGUGACUCGCAUGAAACAAGAUCUGUUAAUAGUUUAUAUAUACAUUCUUCCUUCCAUGACUUAGAAGUUGUUUGUAGUUUUCUCCCUCUAUGGUUAACACAAACACUGUGUGCAUUAUCUAUGUAGAAAUUUUGCCUGUUAUACAUACCGAGGAAUGGAAGUGCUAGCUUUUUAUUCACUCUUUAGUUUAAUUCUCUCUACUAAAAUUAUUACUGAAGUUGCCAAUGAGUUUCUAAUUGCUAGAUAUAAUAUUCAUUUUUGCUGCAUCUCAUAUUAUUGAUAUUAUCAACCCCCUUUCUCCUUCUUCAUUCUCUUUUUUGAAAUUUGUAUCAUUUAUAAU